RNAcentral lists this ribosomal RNA (253 nucleotides) under uncultured bacterium. RNAcentral describes it as "partial 16S ribosomal RNA". It matches the Rfam family "Bacterial small subunit ribosomal RNA", at positions 524 to 776 of the family's 1533-position model. The record is from RNAcentral.
UACGGAGGGUGCAAGCGUUAAUCGGAAUUACUGGGCGUAAAGCGCACGCAGGCGGUUUAUUAAGUGAGGUGUGAAAUCCCCGGGCUUAACCUGGGAAUUGCAUCUAAGACUGGGUAUCUAGAGUCUUGUAGGGGGGGGUAGAAUUCCAUGUGUAGCGGUGAAAUGCGUAGAGAUGUGGAGGAAUACCGGAGGCGAAGGCGGCCCCCUGGGAAAAGACUGACGCUCAGGUGCGAAAGCGUGGGGAGCAAACAGG